Eptatretus burgeri (inshore hagfish) is the source of this 1255-nucleotide long non-coding RNA. NCBI's taxonomy places the organism in Eukaryota, Metazoa, Chordata, Myxini, Myxiniformes, Myxinidae. The record is from Ensembl.
AUGCUUUAUUUAUUUGACCAGAUGAAAGAGGUUCUGAUUUGGUUGUUGACCGUAAAGACUCUCGCGAAGAGAAAUAAAACGUUAUCGACAAAAUUAAUUGAAAUGUAUAACAUUUUUUUGUCAUUGCUAUUAUUAUUAUUAUUAUUAAUAACAUUCCCCACAGAGGUUUGUAAUUUUUCCUCUUUAUACAGUAAGGAGGAAACUGUGACAAAUGAACAGCAUGAUGAGGAUCAAGCAGAUAUGUGGGGUUUGUUCCUCAAGAGACAUGUCACGACAGGGAAAAACAAAGGAUCGCCAUCAACGCAGGCCUGUGAUGGGGUUACUUCAAUGAGCAUUACCUCGGAGUCUGUGACACAAUCACCGUGCGACCGGGAGCAGAGAGAGGUUUCUGCAGGGCCCACACAGUCCACCAUCAACCCCCUUCUGGUGAAACUACCUAAAUCCAUGAUCACUGCUCACCUCCACUCAUUUGUUCCUCUUCUUACCCACCUGUGGAAUCAACUUCCACAUCCUCUUCAAUCUCAUUCUUCCCUUUUGGUCUUCAUGACAGCUGUUCACCACCAUCUCAGAUCAUCCCCAGUCCAAAACCAUGAACUUUUCUGCCCUCAACCCUAUCCCAAUCCUCCUCCUUCCAAUUUUCCAGUUUCCCUCCUUGGAGUUUCCUUCUGUACUCCAUCUUGUCCACCCCAUGCAUCCUCUAUGUCCAACUUGUCCACCCCAUGCAUGUGUGUUUUGCAUCCUGUUUUUGUCCGUUGCAUUAUGAUCCGUUCAGUGUACUAGCUCUUCCAACGAAGCUCAACGAUGUAUACUGCAAAAAAAAACAAAACAAAAAAGAAAACACAAAAGACUGUUCAAGUAUGGUUAUAUAACCUUUAUGUAAUCUUUUUUUUUGUUGAAAAUCACUUGCCAAUAACAGUAAUGGUUUCGCACCAAGAUUUUUUUUCUUCCAAAAUCAGAUCCACAUCCUCGGAGCCAAAGGAAGCAAAUCAUACUUGUGAUACAGGGAAAUUGUUUUUGCCCAGGAAGGUUCGUCAGAUUGGAGAUGGUUUAAAGCUUUGUGAACUUCAAAAUGUCAAGCUGAAUCAUUUACUCGUCUGAUGGGAAGUUACUGGGUUUAUAACAUGAAUAGUUUGUUCUCUCCAGGUUUCAUUCACUUUAUUCUUAAGUAUAAUAACCGAUUUUUCACAACAUUCCAUGGAGAAAUCAUCAUCCUGUAGUUUUCAUUUCCUGAUAGCACCAGGUUCUUUGAGCUUUC